AUGCCGAGGAGUUUGCCGCCGCCGAUGCGCAGUCCGGAGACAGUCGCGUCAGUGUGGGCGACGGCGUCUGAAAGAUUGAAGAGAAAGCAUGCACCUGUGUUGGCGAGGAGGCUGUCGUCGUGGAUGUCGCGGGCGUCGUCGGCGUCGUCUGGCGUCGUUGGUGCGGGCGUCCUCGGCGCGGGCGUUUCGGUGGAGGGCAACUCUGAAGAGCGGCAGGAGGAUUGGUCGCCGCUAAUUUUGGGGCGGAUGUGGUUGUUUCGGUGUGUUUUUUUCUUUUCUUUUUGUUGGCGUUGGCUCAAGGACGGCAGAGUUUCGUCCGCCCACCUAAAUUGCUUAUCGUACAACGUCAGGGGUACUUUUCUGUAUUGA
This 369-nucleotide ribosomal RNA is filed under the name Triticum aestivum (bread wheat). RNAcentral describes it as "partial small subunit ribosomal RNA". Lineage: Eukaryota; Viridiplantae; Streptophyta; Magnoliopsida; Poales; Poaceae. The record is from RNAcentral.